This 266-nucleotide small RNA is filed under the name Drosophila willistoni. RNAcentral's name for it is "GK26786". Lineage: Eukaryota; Metazoa; Arthropoda; Insecta; Diptera; Drosophilidae. The record is from RNAcentral.
AAAAAAAUUAUAAUUUUCCGUUCUUCAAAUGGGUUGAUUUGUGACAUUACAGCUUCCUGGACCCGGGAAACAAAAGGGAUAUAAUAUAAACUUGGACCUCAAAAGAGACCAGAGACCAGCAGCAGCAGCAGCAGCAUCCGCAGCGAAGCGUGUCCAGCAUCCGCAUUAACAUCCGCCAAUUCGCCACCAAAAUCUCAAAUAGUUCUCAAACCUCAAAAAAAAAAGAAAAACAACAACAAAAAACUAGAGAAAGUCGAAUCAAUUGA